AGAGUUUGAUCAUGGCUCAGGAUGAACGCUGGCGGCGUGCCUAACACAUGCAAGUCGAGCGGAGAUAAUUAAAGCUUGCUUUAAUUAUCUUAGCGGCGGACGGGUGAGUAACGCGUGGAUAAUCUGCCUUGUACAGAAGGAUAACAUCAAGAAAUUGGUGCUAAUACUUCAUAAGCUUACGUUGUCGCAUGACAGAGUAAGAAAAGAUUUAUCGGUACAAGAGGAGUCCGCGGCUGAUUAGCUAGUUGGUAAGGUAAGAGCUUACCAAGGCGACGAUCCGUAGCUGGUCUGAGAGGAUGACCAGCCACACUGGGACUGAGACACGGCCCAGACUCCUACGGGAGGCAGCAGUGGGGAAUAUUGGACAAUGGGCGCAAGCCUGAUCCAGCCAUGCCGCGUGGGUGAAGAAGGCCUUAGGGUUGUAAACCCCUUUCAGCGGGGAAGAUAAUGACGGUACCCGCAGAAGA
Molecule: ribosomal RNA, 467 nt
Filed under: uncultured Prosthecomicrobium sp.
Lineage: Bacteria; Pseudomonadati; Pseudomonadota; Alphaproteobacteria; Hyphomicrobiales; Kaistiaceae
Description: bacterial SSU rRNA
Rfam family: Bacterial small subunit ribosomal RNA
Source: RNAcentral